CCUACGGGCGGCUGCAGUGGGGAAUAUUGCGCAAUGGGCGCAAGCCUGAUCCAGCAACGCCGCGUGAAGGAAGAAGGCUUUCGGGUUGUAAACUUCUUUUCUCAGGGACGAAGAUAGUGACGGUACCUGCGGAAUAAGCCACGGCUAACUACGUGCCAGCAGCCGCGGCAAUACGUAGGUGGCAAGCGUUAUUCGGAUUUAUUGGGUGUAUAGGGCGUGUAGGCGGGAGCGCAAGUCAGAUGUGAAAACUCAGGGCUCAACCCUGAGCCUGCAUUUGAUACUGUGUUUCUUGAGUGCUGGAGAGGCAAUCGGAAUUCCGUGUGUAGCGGUGAAAUGCGUAGAUAUACGGAGGAACACCAGUGGCGAAGGCGGAUUGCUGGACAGUAACUGACGCUGAGGCGCGAAAGCGUGGGGAGCAAACAGGAUUAGAUACCCGUGUAGUC
This 443-nucleotide ribosomal RNA is filed under the name uncultured bacterium. RNAcentral describes it as "partial 16S ribosomal RNA". It matches the Rfam family "Bacterial small subunit ribosomal RNA", at positions 338 to 795 of the family's 1533-position model. The record is from RNAcentral.